RNAcentral lists this long non-coding RNA (2418 nucleotides) under Homo sapiens (human). Its description in RNAcentral is "HSALNT0142077". Lineage: Eukaryota; Metazoa; Chordata; Mammalia; Primates; Hominidae. The record is from RNAcentral.
GCAGUUUCUAGAUCGCAGAAGGAUACAGUCACAUUCAAAGGGGCUAUCCAGUCACAUUCUUAUGUCAAGGGAUUUAGUCCAACCAAGGCAGCCACACAGGCCUAUUCUCAACUCUUCUUCUACAUCCUUCUGUAUGCAUCAGGAGGCUACCCUGGAUGAACUGCAUCACCUCCACAGAUCUUACCCUUCACAACUUGGCUAUGUUGUCUUUAACAAGUAGGGAGCAAGACAAGAAGAAAUUUAUGAGAACUGGAGUACAAAUUCAGAAGAAAGCAGAAAGUUUGACUUGAUGGUUGAUUAAAUUUCCUAAAAUUCUCCCGAAGGAGAGAAGAUACUUCACUACCCACAAUAGGGCUGGACCCAUAACUAGAAGCAAAGCGACCCACUACUGAAAAGGUGAGAAGGUCAGAUCAAGAAGCAAAGGCUAUAAUUACAAAACCACUUAAAGAUCUUCAUAAUUUGUGAAGAAUCUAUUUCAACGAGAGACUAAACAUGCUACACAGAAAUUUUCUGAGUUCCUUUCAGGGAUCUACAAGUCUUUUUCACUUGACUAUAGCCUGCCUUCCAACUAUCUUAUGAACUUCAGGAAAAAGAAGAAAAAUGCCACUUUCUUCCUUUGGACACUCCCGAAUAUGUCUAACCACAGUAUUAUUCACACUGUGGGUAACCAACUUAUUUUGCUAACUGACUGAAAGAUUAUAUUAUUGUAUAAUAAAGUUUCCUUUUCUUCAAAGGGAGUAAAGUGAAAGAAUGCAUAAAAUUUGUCACAAAGUUUUCAGAUAAAACCUGUUUAGUAAUGACAAUUAGUAAUAGAAAUCAUUAGUUAUAGCAUGAUGCAGGGAAUACUAAUGAAGGCAAAGCGUAUUUUGACUAAUCUGCUUUCUGAAACGUUCUUGGUAAUAAGCAUUAGAAUGAGGUCAAAGUCAUUUUUCUUUUUUGAAAUAGAAAGGUAAUUCUAAUGUUUAUAAAAGAAAGCUUUGUGGUCUGCCAGGAAUUUUAAUUUCUAAGCUGUCAACAUUUUAGCACUUAUAUCUGAUAACGGCUGUGAUAAUGCAUGCUCCAGUCUUGUAUCAGUUGCUUGCUCUUCCAUAAGUCAAAAGUGAAAUAUGGGUAACAAUAAUGUGAAAGACACAAUGCAACUUUGAACUUUGAUGCAAUUUCAAUGUUAACAAGUUAUGUAAAAUUGACAUAUGGAUGACAAUGUUACAUAUUUCCACAUCUGACAGUGUUUUGCUGAAAUGUGAUUUUUGUAUGAAAAGGAAAUAGAAAGUGAAGUAGUUUCACUUAAUUGAAUAACUGAUAAAAUAAUCAGUGGUGCUCCAGUUUUUGACAUGGAAGAAAAGUGGAAAUGUUUUUCUACCUCUAGAGACACUGACAAAAUAGAGAAUGGGAAUGAAAUACAGAAUACAGUUUGUAGAUCCUUGAGAAUAAUUAAGCCACCAAAACUCAUCUCACUAACAAAAUCAGGCAAAAGUAAUGGAUAAAAGGGCAGACAGAGGAAACAACAACAUAAAUAUUUGAAAGCUAUUUGGCAUAUUUGGUUAUGUUCAAUUUGGUUUACGAUCAUGGAAACUUUGGUUUGUUUUGAUAAUUCCGACAUAGGGAACAACAAAAAAAGAGAAUUAGUAAAUCUUAUAGUAAGGGAGAAACUCUUUAAAAUGAUCUGGGUUAGGAUAAAGAGGGUAGGGGCUCAAACAGAAAUACUAUCAGAAAGCAAUCUUGGUUAAGUAUAGGAUCCUCAUGUUAUGUGAUAUUUUACAAUCAUUUAACAGCACUGGCUACUCUGCUUCAAGGCAGAAGAACUUUUAAACAGAUGUCCUGGAAAUAGAGGAAAACUAAUAAAACUAAUAAAAAUAAGGGAGAGGAAAACUAAUGAGUUAGCAUCCCUAUUUUCAUGAAGUGCAGAAAGAGUCUGCAGGAGCACCAGUCUCAUUAACAAAGAUGAGACUUGGGAUAUCUUACUUAGAUAACCUGGAAUGUUGCUCACUCUAAAGUCGCAGGUCAGAAAUGACUUUCAAUUCUAGAAUAAGAUAAAGAGAACAAACGUUUAAAAUUCAGAGGUGAAUCUAGGUUUGCAUUAUUGCAACAAAGUGAAAUAGUCAAAAUACAACCUCUUCCAUAGUCCAUAAAUAAGUCUAUGUAAAUAAGUCUGUAAAUCGUCUAUAAAUAUUUGACCAAAUACUAUCCUUCAUGUACUCCUGAAUGUUUACUGUGCAAAUACAGCACCACUCAUCAAACAAAUGAACACAUUUCAACAUUUCACUCCUUAUGCCUUCAACAUGUUUUUACCCUUCCGACUGGAAUUCAUUUCCCCUAGUCAUUUGCUUAGAGGAUUUAUAAUUUUCUGUUUACACUUAGAUCCAAAAAGGCUGCCAAAGAAUCUAAUUUCUUUCUCUUACAAAAACAUUAAAACUCAAG